Molecule: long non-coding RNA, 1574 nt
Filed under: Anthonomus grandis grandis
Lineage: Eukaryota; Metazoa; Arthropoda; Insecta; Coleoptera; Curculionidae
Description: uncharacterized LOC126739023
Source: RNAcentral
CAGUGUCUUGCUGGAGGCCGCCUAAAAUGAGGGCGUGCAUGUCCAAAUCGUUUGCCACCUGCUCGUCUUCUGAAGAGAGGUCCAGGUCGUCGUCUGGACUUUGCGGUUGCUACAAAAGAAUACCCGUUGUAAGACUACAGUAAAAAGCACAGGGACGUGUAAUUUGAUUGGUUUGAAGGCGUCUUGGCUCUGGCGUCUCCUCGAAUUCAGCCGGCUCUCGACUCUCGAAUUCUUUUCAGGAAGAAGAAGAAGAGUGGUUAUUAGUUAUUAAUUAGUUAAUAUUUAUUUGUUUUCGUUGAUAUUUAUAUUUUGUAGCUUUGUGCCUUGUUUGUGUGUAUAUUUUGAGAAUGGAUUCAAAGGCUGGACCCUCACAGGGAAAACCAUGUAAUUUAUGUCCAAAGGUGUACACAAAGUUGAGAUAGCUUCUAGUCCCAGAGAAUGUCGAAUUAUUUGUCCAGUGUGUGAAGAACAAAAUGUAUUACAAAGUCAUCGAUUAUUGCUCGAACAUUUUGAAAAGCAGCAUGCAAUGAAAAUUGAAUUAUCAAUUUUACAGUUUUACAGUAAAGAAAAUUACGAGUCAUGGAAACAAACCGAAAAAAUUGAAACUGCUUAUUCAAUACGUAGAACAAAUAUAGGAAAUGAUCAUAGGGAAGUGACAUAUUUCUGCAAUAGGAGUAAUUUUAAAGGAUAUCAAGAGAAGUAUAAUAAAAGAACCGAGAAGGCAGCUGGAACAAUAAAAAUUAGAGGAAUGUGCCUUCACAGUUGAUUUGUCGAUUGUACUUUGAUGGGAUUGUAUCUGUUAAGUUUUGGAGGACACAUGCUGGACAUAUAACUGAACCAAAUAGACUACAUCUUUCCACCUCAGAGAAAAAUGUUAUUGUUGAAAAAUUGAAGGCUGGUGUAUCUUCUGAUAGAAUUUUAAAAGAUGCAAGGAACAUAGACUCCACUGAGCUGCAUCGAAUAAAUUUGAUAAAUUAAAAUAAUAUCACAUAUUUGAUAAGAAAACACAAAAUCAAUAAUAAAAGGGAUCAAAACAAAAUGAUAGCUGCUGCUUUAAAGGUGAAGAAUGAAUGAAGAGAAGAAUGGAAUGCCAGUGGAAAAAACUUUGCAUUUAUUUACCAGCAAGAAGUAAAGUAAUUAUACAUAAAAAAAAUUAUAUAAAUACUUAUGUGUUAUAUAUUGAUGGGGAAUAUGUGAAUAUAUGGGUAUACAAAAAUCAAAACAAAAACUGUUGCAUGUUGUCAAUGAUCCUAUGCAUAUUUAAAUGGAAUGCCUAGAUCUAUCUAUACAUAUAUGUAUGUAUAGAUACUGUAUGUAUAUGCUGGUACAUGUAAUACUUUUUAUUUUGAUUUUUGUAUAGAUAUAGUGUAUCCAAAGUCAAUUGGACCAAUACAUUCUGCAGCUGGCUUCUCUCUGAAUAUGGUGUCAUUGUUAUGAGUACUACAUUUUUUUACAGGGGACUGACCAACAAUAUUGAUUCAAUUGACUUUGGAUAUUGUUUAAACAUUUUUAAGAAAUUAGUUUUCUCGUUCAAGAGAAGUAUUACCUAGAUUUAUUGUAGUUGGUGUGGUAUA